CUUGGCAUUGAUAAAAAGUUCAUAUGAUGCUAACUUGACGGUGGACAAAGUUCUAAAAUCUUUAAAAGUACGACUUCUGCAUUAAAAGUUAAAAGUUCGUCAGACAGGCUGGCACUGCCGGUAAAAAUUGUUCUAAGUGAAUAUUAAAGUAAUCCCAAAGUUCAUUUAUUUGUUUCACUUGAUGAUAGGAUCACAAUAGCUAUGCUUGCCUAAGUUUAAAGGGGUACCAAACUCAUAUUUGUUUUUGAAAUCAUAAGGUGGCCGCCAUUUUGGCUUUUCAAAAAUAUACAGGUGCGUGAGAUAAAAAACCUUUAUGUACACAAUAAAAGGUAAAAUUCCUGGCUGUGAAAUGUUUGCGUGGGUGAUAAAUGUAUAUAUACAAGUGACUUUACUAAAAAGUGAUGGAAAACAGACUAUUAAAAUACUUUAAAAUUCUAAAAAUCUGUGAGCUGUGAAAAAACGUGCUGCUAUACAACAGGAA
RNAcentral lists this long non-coding RNA (481 nucleotides) under Mytilus galloprovincialis (Mediterranean mussel). Lineage: Eukaryota; Metazoa; Mollusca; Bivalvia; Mytilida; Mytilidae. The record is from RNAcentral.